UGGAGUGUUAGCUGGCCCAGGGAGGGAUGUAGUAUGUGUUGUUGAUGUAUGUUGAGUGUGCAAAGGAUGGAUUCCCAUGUUGUGAGGAAUUGGAUGUGGAUAUGACUUGGUUUGACUGGACCUUUGGAAUAGGGAAAUGGUUAGGAGAUAUUGGACGAAUGGUCCUGGUUGCAAUUAAUGUAAUAAUUGUGAGUUUGAUGAUAAUAUACUUGAUGAUAAUAUGCAAAUGGGCUUUUCCCAUCAUUAUCAAGAAGUGUUUCCCAUCUCCUCCCAAUACCCAAGCUAUGUAUUCACCGG
This is a non-coding RNA of Pelobates cultripes (western spadefoot toad), 297 nucleotides long. Lineage: Eukaryota; Metazoa; Chordata; Amphibia; Anura; Pelobatidae. The record is from the annotation of a GenBank genome assembly.